UGCGGCUGUAUAAUGUUGAAACACCGGUUCUCGUAGGAUAACCGAAGUUAAGCAAUGCCAAGCCUGGUCAGUACCUAGACGAGUAAACACUUGUGAAUAUCAGGUGCUGUAC
Non-coding RNA from Acanthosepion pharaonis, 112 nucleotides. The record is from the annotation of a GenBank genome assembly. NCBI's taxonomy places the organism in Eukaryota, Metazoa, Mollusca, Cephalopoda, Sepiida, Sepiidae.